AGUAAACCCAGUAUAUAACAAUUAUAUCGGUGUGUGUGCCAAUGAUAUGCUCAUAAGAGUAUACGACAGACGGAUGUUAGGUUUAUACAAAAAAACUGAAAAAAUGAAUUUGAGCAGUAGUAUUCAAUCAGAUACAUAUUAUCCUAAACAUUUAUGGAAUUAUUAUGAUGAAGAAGAUGAUAAGAAGUUAAAUAACAUUUCGUUAUUUUGUACACAUUUAGCAUGGUCAAAUAGUGGUAAAUACUUGGGAGUUACAUAUAAUAAUGAGCAUGUAUAUGUGUUUGAUUUUUUGAAUAAAGAAGCUGAAAAAUGUUUGAGUUAUAAUAUUGUUGAUAAUAAAUCAUCCUUUGAUUAUUCCAAAAAAUAUGAUAUAUUAUUUCCACCAUGUUAUAAUGAAAACAAUUUGUAUACAAAUAAAAGUAGUAGUUCACUAGAAGAUAAUUUGAAUUAUAAACAUGAGUUAUCUUUAAUUCGAGCAAUAGAAAAACUAGCUGCUGAAUCGUAUGAAAAAAAACGUUAUUUUGAGGCUGAAUAUUUAUAUAAUGAAUGUUUAAAUAUGGUUACUAAUAAAGAUAUUAAGAAGGUUCUUUUUUGUAAUUUGGCUAUUACAUUAAUUCAAAGAAAAGCAAAAAACGAUGCAUAUUUGGCUGAACAAUAUGCAUUAGAAGCUCUAAAAUUAGACCCAUAUUAUUACAAAGCUAUAUACAGAAGAAUUCAAGCCAAUAUCGUUAAUAAAAAAUUAAUUAAUGCUUAUAGAAUCACGCUAUCUGCAUGUAAACAUUAUAAAGAGGUUAUGGAAUUUUGUUAUUUAAAAAAAAAACUAAAAAAAAAACUAUAUGAGUUGUAUAAAGAUAAAAUUAGCUCCAUUAGGCAAUUACAUACCAACGAAACAAACAGAAAAACAACAUAUGAAGAAGAGGGAUUUUAUGAUGGCAAUAGUAAUCAAUAUACAUUCAUCAGAAAUGGGAAGGACGAAGAUAGAAUAACGCGAGGUAGUCGUAUUUACAUGCAGGACUAUGAAACCCGGAACACUGAAGAAGGUUUAAUCAACAAAAAGGAAAUUUUUAAAAUGGAAAAAAGGGAAAA
Molecule: long non-coding RNA, 1086 nt
Filed under: Piliocolobus tephrosceles (Ugandan red Colobus)
Lineage: Eukaryota; Metazoa; Chordata; Mammalia; Primates; Cercopithecidae
Description: lncRNA (ENSPTEG00000017373.1)
Source: RNAcentral